Molecule: ribosomal RNA, 426 nt
Filed under: Megaselia fungivora
Lineage: Eukaryota; Metazoa; Arthropoda; Insecta; Diptera; Phoridae
Description: partial 16S ribosomal RNA
Source: RNAcentral
UUUUAGAAUUUAAUUUAAAGUCUAACCUGCCCACUGAAUAAAUUUUAAAUGGCCGCAGUAUCUUAACUGUGCAAAGGUAGCAUAAUCAUUAGUCUUUUAAUUGAAGGCUGGAAUGAAUGGUUGAAUGAAAUAUUAACUGUUUCAUAAAAAUUUAAAAUAAAAUUUUAUUUUUUAGUCAAAAAGCUAAAAUGUAAUUAAAAGACGAGAAGACCCUAUAAAUCUUUAUAUUAAAUUAAUUUUAAUUAUUUUGAUAAAUUAAGUUAUAAUUAUAUUAAAUAUUUUAUUGGGGUGAUAUUAAAAUUUAAUAAACUUUUAAUUUAUAAUUUACAUAAAUUAAUGAAUUAUUGAUCCAUUUAUAUGAUUAUAAAAUUAAGUUACUUUAGGGAUAACAGCGUAAUUUUUUUAGAGAGUUCUUAUUGAUAAAAA